Helianthus annuus (common sunflower) is the source of this 575-nucleotide long non-coding RNA. RefSeq lists it as uncharacterized. The transcript has 3 exons. The record is from RefSeq and is a predicted model, not a curated record. NCBI's taxonomy places the organism in Eukaryota, Viridiplantae, Streptophyta, Magnoliopsida, Asterales, Asteraceae.
GUCACAAGAUUUUCAUCUCUAAUUUUCAUUUUUGAACAGUUGGUUGAGUUUGUGCUUUUGUUAUCUUCAAUUUCAGGUGAAUGUGGAUAUCAAAGGAGGCGGUAGAGCUGGUGGCGGUGGUGGUGGUGGUAGAGGGGGCAGAGUUCGAGACUGGCCCUGCCCUAAUCUAGGGGACAAAGGUAAAUUCUAUGCCUUCAAAGUUUUGACACUUUCGUCAUUUUCAGCUUACUCAUGCUUUCUUCUUACCGUUCUAAGUAACUUUUAUUUCUCAGCAAGGUUAUGAAUGAAUAUACUUGGUAAUUAUACCUCCAUGUAGACUUGAACAAAACUGAGGUUAUCUCCCUCUUGGCGGGGCAAUCCGGAUGGUAAUGUCAAGGCAACUGAUUCUCACACAUUACAUCCGGUCUGGAUGGUAAUGUCAAGGUACAACUGAUUCUCUCACAUUGCAACCAGUCGCGUUGCAGGCACAAUUGUUGCUGGAAGUACAAUUACACCAAAGUUAUUUAGGUUGCAAUUUAGAUUUUUUUGUUAUCUAAGAGUGAACGUCUGAAUACUUAUUUUUGAUGUUUUCUACU